UGAAGAAGUAAAUUACUUCCUUCCUCGGAUGUUGAUCUCGAGUUAGUGCAGAAUUCCUCAUUUCAGGGAAGAAUUAAGUUGUUCUUCUAUUAGUCAACCACAUGCUUGGAUGUAAAUUACCUUGAAAAAACGAACUUCAACAUCAGUAAUCAGGAAAGGGUUUCCAUUGGGACUGAAGUAGUCUGUCAUUCAAAAGAACACACUAUAGGAAAUAUGGUUGGAGAAGCAAGCGUCACAUAUGAAACUUCCAACAAUUUGGUGCCAAACAGGAAACUGGAUUUAUGACAGAAACUUUGGGAUUAGUUUUACACCGCCACUGAGGAAUGAGAGGGCCAAGAGGCUCCCAAGAGAGAUGAACUAGCCAGCAGUAGUAUCGCAGUUUCUUCUAGAAGGCUUGUGGUCCUUUCAGAUGGCACUCAGGCCACUCAAAGUGCAGCCCUAGAAACUUCUAUUUCUCCCCCUACCUUGGUUCAAGGGUCGUUGGCUACUCAAGGAAACCUGAGAUCACUGCUGCUAUCUGGUGACUUUUUCCUUGGAGAUGACUUCAAAAAUACCUGUUGUCGAGGACUAAAAGUGCUGCAAAGGAUGGUUGAAGCAUAGUAGAAGUGUGGAAAUUUCAGUUUGUAAAAACUAGUUUUGACCAAAGUUGACCUGAGUUGACUAUGCUAGUUUUUUGGGUUUCUUUGGUAUUUUUUGUUUUUUUGUCUUCUCGUAAAUUUUUGUCUUUGUUUAGCUUUGGUAGGCUACUUUA
Long non-coding RNA from Spinacia oleracea (spinach), 751 nucleotides. RefSeq lists it as uncharacterized. The record is from RefSeq and is a predicted model, not a curated record. The transcript is spliced from 3 exons. Lineage: Eukaryota; Viridiplantae; Streptophyta; Magnoliopsida; Caryophyllales; Amaranthaceae.